UCGACGCUUCUUUUCCCACCGGAGCUUGCUCCACCGGGAAAAGAGGAGUGGCUUAUACGGGUGAGUAACACGUGGGUAACCUGCCCAUCAGAAGGGGAUAACACUUGGAAACAGGUGCUAAUACCGUAUAACAAUCGAAACCGCAUGGUUUCGUUUUGAAAGGCGCUUUACGGUGCCGCUGAUGGAUGGACCCGCGGUGCAUUAGCUAGUUGGUGAGGUAACGGCUCACCAAGGCCACGAUGCAUAGCCGACCUGAGAGGGUGAUCGGCCACAUUGGGACUGAGACACGGCCCAAACUCCUACGGGAGGCAGCAGUAGGGAAUCUUCGGCAAUGGACGAAAGUCUGACCGAGCAACGCCGCGUGAGUGAAGAAGGUUUUCGGAUCGUAAAACUCUGUUGUUAGAGAAGAACAAGGGUGAGAGUAACUGUUCACCCCUUGACGGUAUCUAACCAGAAAGCCACGGCUAACUACGUGCCAGCAGCCGCGGUAAUACGUAGGUGGCAAGCGUUGUCCGGAUUUAUUGGGCGUAAAGCGAGCGCAGGCGGUUUCUUAAGUCUGAUGUGAAAGCCCCCGGCUCAACCGGGGAGGGUCAUUGGAAACUGGAGAGACUUGAGUGCAGAAGAGGAGAGUGGAAUUCCAUGUGUAGCGGUGAAAUGCGUAGAUAUAUGGAGGAACACCAGUGGCGAAGGCGGCUCUCUGGUCUGUAACUGACGCUGAGGCUCGAAAGCGUGGGGAGCAAACAGGAUUAGAUAC
RNAcentral lists this ribosomal RNA (754 nucleotides) under uncultured bacterium. RNAcentral describes it as "bacterial SSU rRNA". It matches the Rfam family "Bacterial small subunit ribosomal RNA", at positions 62 to 785 of the family's 1533-position model. The record is from RNAcentral.